Long non-coding RNA from Nannospalax galili (Upper Galilee mountains blind mole rat), 408 nucleotides. RefSeq lists it as uncharacterized. NCBI's taxonomy places the organism in Eukaryota, Metazoa, Chordata, Mammalia, Rodentia, Spalacidae. The transcript is spliced from 2 exons. The record is from RefSeq and is a predicted model, not a curated record.
CCGCGAAGGAACUUCCCCUGUCUUGGUGGUUAGACGCCAACGUCCAGUCCUCACCACCCCGCCCCCUCCAUCUGCACCACCGGCAGGCGUGAGCUCCCUGCAGAGGAAUCUUCUGGGAUGGGGUGCACCUUGCCAACAGAAUUGUUGAAAAGUAUUUCCUCCCACAGUGGGGAAAGAUUUGCCAAGUUUCUGCCUGGAACAAUUUGUUAUGGCCAUGUAAUAAUCCUGGAAAGUUUGGAUUUUUAAUGGAAAUACUGACAAUAGACUUUCAACACUGCUGUUAUAAGGAGGAUGGAAUCUUAUAUAUGUUAUUUUAAAAUCUGAGCAAGCCAUAGGCUACCAUAUACACUUUCCUUAGAUUGUGUUCCCAAAUACACCUAUGGCGAAAUAAACCUAUGGAGAAAUAAA